This 282-nucleotide unclassified non-coding RNA is filed under the name uncultured fungus. RNAcentral's name for it is "sequence contains ITS1". The stretch from base 1 to 98 matches the Rfam family "5.8S ribosomal RNA", at positions 49 to 154 of the family's 154-position model. Lineage: Eukaryota; Fungi. The record is from RNAcentral.
UAAAGUGCGAAAUGUAAUGCGAUUUGCAUGAAUCUGUGAGUCAUUUAAUCUUUGAACGCAACUUGCACCCAUUCCUGGGUAUGUUUGUUUGAGACGGCAAAACCGUGGAUCUAACCGGUUUGGCCAUGACUUGGGUCUUGGCUCAAAAGCAGCAAGAUAGCAGCAAGCUGAUAACGGAUGAUGGGUUUGCUAGAGCUAGAGACGCAAGUCUUUUCUAUGCAAAUCCAUCGCAAUAUCUUUUAUAUCCGUCUCAAAUCAAGCAAGAUUACCCGCUGAACUUAA